This 440-nucleotide ribosomal RNA is filed under the name uncultured bacterium. RNAcentral's name for it is "partial 16S ribosomal RNA". It matches the Rfam family "Bacterial small subunit ribosomal RNA", at positions 338 to 795 of the family's 1533-position model. The record is from RNAcentral.
CCUACGGGUGGCAGCAGUGGGGAAUAUUGGACAAUGGGGGAAACUCUGAUCCAGCGAAGCAGCGUGAGUGAAGAAGUAUUUCGGUACGUAAAGCUCUAUUAGCAGGAAAGAAAAUGACGGUACGUGACUAAGAAGCUCUGGCUAACUCCGUGCCAGCAGCCGCGGUAAUACGGAGGGGGCAAGCGUUAUCCGGAUUUACUGGGUGUAAAGGGAGCGUAGACGGCAGCGCAAGUCUGGAGUGAAAUGCCGCGGCCCAACCCCGGAACUGCAGUGGAAACUGUGAAGCUGGAGUGCAGGAGAGGUAGGCGGAAUUCCUGGUGUAGCGGUGAAAUGCGUAGAUAUCAGGAGGAACACCGGCGGCGAAGGCGGCUUACUGGACUGUAACUGACGUUGAGGCUCGAAGGCGUGGGGAUCAAACAGGAUUAGAUACCCUUGUAGUC